Molecule: ribosomal RNA, 446 nt
Filed under: Chukchi Sea bacterium AWS-7W2
Lineage: Bacteria; Pseudomonadati; Pseudomonadota; Gammaproteobacteria
Description: bacterial SSU rRNA
Rfam family: Bacterial small subunit ribosomal RNA
Source: RNAcentral
GCCGCGUGUGUGAAGAAGGCCUUCGGGUUGUAAAGCACUUUCAGUUGUGAGGAAAGGUUAGUAGUUAAUACCUGCUAGCUGUGACGUUAACAACAGAAGAAGCACCGGCUAACUCCGUGCCAGCAGCCGCGGUAAUACGGAGGGUGCAAGCGUUAAUCGGAAUUACUGGGCGUAAAGCGCACGCAGGCGGUCUGUUAAGCUAGAUGUGAAAGCCCCGCGCUCAACGUGGGAUGGUCAUUUAGAACUGGCAGACUAGAGUUUUGGAGAGGAGAGUGGAAUUCCAGGUGUAGCGGUGAAAUGCGUAGAUAUCUGGAGGAACAUCAGUGGCGAAGGCGACUCUCUGGUCAAUAACUGACGCUCAUGUGCGAAAGUGUGGGUAGCGAACGGGAUUAGAUACCCCGGUAGUCCACACCGUAAACGCUGUCUACUAACUGUUUGUGGAUUUA